RNAcentral lists this transfer RNA (67 nucleotides) under Scleropages leichardti (spotted bonytongue). Its description in RNAcentral is "tRNA-Met". Lineage: Eukaryota; Metazoa; Chordata; Actinopteri; Osteoglossiformes; Osteoglossidae. The record is from RNAcentral.
GUAAAGUCAGCUAAAUAAGCUCUCGGGCCCAUACCCCGAAAAUGUGGGUUGAACCCCCACCUCUACC